This is a long non-coding RNA of Trifolium pratense (red clover), 2256 nucleotides long. RefSeq lists it as uncharacterized. NCBI's taxonomy places the organism in Eukaryota, Viridiplantae, Streptophyta, Magnoliopsida, Fabales, Fabaceae. The transcript has 2 exons. The record is from RefSeq and is a predicted model, not a curated record.
ACUCGCGUUUAUAAAUUCAACAACAUGAAGCCAACUAUCUCAUUCCCCAUUUCCACUUCUCUCUCAAAAUUUCUCUUUCAUAAAUCAUUUCCCAUAUCUCAUUCUCUACUCUAUCUCUCUAUACUCUCUCUCUCUCUCUCUCUCUCUCUCUCUCUCUCUCUCUCUCCCUCCCUCUCAAAAUUUCCCUUUCACUCUUGCACCACCAUCGUGCUACUUCUACACCACCAUCACGCCGCCACUGCCUUUCCUCCUUCAAUUCGGCUGUGUUUUCAAUCAUUACUCUAUACAACAACGAUAAGUUAGCCCUUUUAAUUAUUUAUUUAUUGAAGUUAAAAACAAAAAUCAUCUAUAUUAUCGAUCAAAAAACUACUAAUAUAAAUAUUAAAAAAAAUCUAUAUCAUUAAAUGACUACUAUAUUGUUUACAUCACACAAGAUUGAUAAUAAUAUGUAUCUUUGCUUUAAAGGGAGGAUUAUAACAUCUUAUUGAUUUCAAAUAAUUUUUUAUUAUAAAAUUAAUUAGAAGUUUCUUUUGCUUUCUAACAAGAUCUCCCAACCAUGAAAAUAAAUUCCAAUUCAUGGUUUAAUUUCGUCAAUUGCUCUUUGGACUUUGUAAUCUUCUACAUCAAAUAGCUUUCAUGGUUUAACUUCUUCUUACCUUGCUCAAAUUCAUAAUAGUUUUUGUAUUUUGUUAUAAUCCUUUGGAUCUCCCAUGGGAAAGGCCAAACCUCUGGCCGAGAAUGAAAAUCGAGAUAAAGUAUAUCACAAACAUCAAUCCUACAAAAGGUGGUGAUUUCAUCAAUCUUCUUGAUUAAACCUUUUUUUCUUUUGUUGUAAAUUAUUCUCCUAAUCACUAACCAUGAAUACUAGUUUCAACUUUUUUGAAACCAUGGAUAUGAAAACUUUUUUCUUGUGUGAAGAAAACCAUACAAGAAUUUUUUUUUCACAUCUACCGUUAAUUUGAAAAAAGUUGAAACUAGUAUUUGUGAUUAGUGAUCCUGCUAGGAGGACAACUUAUAACGAAAGAAAAAAGGGUUUAACCAAGAAGAUUGAUGAAUUCGGCACCCUUUGUAGGAUUGAUGUUUGUGAUAUACUUUAUAUCAAUUUUCAUUAGGGGCCAGAGGUCAGGCCUUCUCCAUGGGAGGUCCAAAGGAUUAUCACAAAAUACAAAAAUUAUUCUAAAUUUGACCAAGGUAAGAAGCUGAACCACGAGAGCUAUUUGAUGCAAAGGAUUACGAAGUCCAAAGAGCAAUUGACAAAAUUGGAGCAAAAUAAUUGGAAAAUGCAUAAGUCCUUGAUCUUAUAUCAAUGUCUUCUCAAAGAAAAUUUGAUCAACACUCUAAACAAUUGGAAAAUGCAAUUAUUGUCGCUCUGAAUUUGGUUGAUAAGAAUAACAAAGAGAAUGAAAUAGAUGUUCUUGAGGGGCAUCUAAAGAAAUUGGAGAGCAUGCAUGUUGAAACACCUUAUUGCCAAGACUUCUUAUAAUUUUAUUUUUCUUUGUUAAAUUUGAAGUGUUUAAUGCAAGCUUUUUUGUUGGUUGUAACCUAUAAUGUUUGACAUAUUUAAUUUUAAACUUUCAUUGUGUUAUUUUGAUGUGAAUUGAACUAUAUUUAGCUCUCUCAUGUUACAUUAUAUAAUAAAAGACUCAUUUUUUAUAAGUCUUUUUUUUUUUGUCUUGCUCGAUGAAAAUGUGGAUGUGGACAGAAAAUCUCAUAUAGCAAAACCUUCAUUUAUAGAGAGAUCCAAGAGGAGUUGAAAGAGAAGUCUUGAAUCAAAGUUUCUUCUCUCGGUUGAAGUUUCAUGAAUGUAGUGUAGGAUUUGGAAAAUUGGAAUAAGAACGGUGAGUUCAGUGUUGGAAGUGAAAUCGGCUAUGUCAAUCCCUUUACUCUUGUUAGAAAAAUGUGAUUCACUAUCAUUUGGCACUUCUCUUUAAAAGGAGUAAGCUACAAUUGAUGCAGAUAAGUCGGAAAAUGAAGAACUUGAUAAGGAACAAGAAGUUGACAGUGAUAUUAACUAUGAAAAAAUGCUUGUGAGAAUCCAAUGGAAGGUAACACCCCUACUAGUUGACUACAUUUCCAACGUUGUACAAGUUAAUUUAUGGAUAUCUCAUAAUUCUUGUGAUAUUGGAAUGUUAACUAGAAAACUAAUUUAUGGUGAUAUUGGAAUGUUUAGCUUGAGAUGAAAUCUAGCUUACCAAACAACAUUAUAAGAAAAGCAACUCAUGAUUGAAGCCAAAACGCACGUUUAAGCCUUCUCAA